RNAcentral lists this long non-coding RNA (568 nucleotides) under Nicotiana benthamiana. RNAcentral describes it as "long non-coding RNA (NBEN_LNC039017)". Lineage: Eukaryota; Viridiplantae; Streptophyta; Magnoliopsida; Solanales; Solanaceae. The record is from RNAcentral.
UGCAACCAAAAUUGGUAACUUCAUUAGUGAAAUACACUACGAAAUAUUUAGACUCAUACCUCCUCAACCUUUGGACCGUAUGUAAUAGUAGAAUACAGCCAAACACAAGCAAGAAGAACUUGAGAAACUAUUAUUCUAAUGCAGAAAUGAAAACAAGAAUUCUUUUUUAUAAGUCUGAAGCUUGUAAAUAUUCACCAACCUAUAAGGAACAUGGCCUCUCUUUCUUCUAAGAGCUGCGAUAACAUCACCUAGUGCAGAAAGAGAGAGAUUUAUUGCCCUCCCCUCGUCAAGGGUUUGUCCAAUGGCUCCCGUUUUAAGUAGGCGCUCACUUCCUCCAAGGUCAACCAUCCACAGUUUGCUUACUUCUGCGUGGCUCCCGUCUUAAGCAGGCGCUCACUUCCUCCAAGGUCAACCAUCCACAGUUUGCUUACUUCUGCUUUACCUCCCAAAGCAUCUCCAUAGCGAUAUAUACUGAUCCUCGUCAAACUAAAUACAAAAAACUAAACAGGUUACUGAAUUGCCAAAACCAAAGUAAUCCAAAUGACGAAGGGAAAGGCUUUUAAAAAUC